UAGGGAAUCUUCCGCAAUGGACGCAAGUCUGACGGAGCAACGCCGCGUGAGUGAAGAAGGAUUUCGGUUCGUAAAACUCUGUUGUUAGAGAAGAACAGCGCAUAGAGUAACUGUUAUGCGUGUGACGGUAUCUAACCAGAAAGCCACGGCUAACUACGUGCCAGCAGCCGCGGUAAUACGUAGGUGGCAAGCGUUGUCCGGAUUUAUUGGGCGUAAAGCGAGCGCAGGCGGUCAAUUAAGUCUGAUGUGAAAGCCCCCGGCUCAACCGGGGAGGGUCAUUGGAAACUGGUUGACUUGAGUGCAGAAGAGGAGAGUGGAAUUCCAUGUGUAGCGGUGAAAUGCGUAGAUAUAUGGGGGAACACCAGGGGCGAAGGAGACUCUCUGGUCUGUAACUGACGCGGAGGUUCGAAAGCGUGGGUAGCAAACAGG
Molecule: ribosomal RNA, 429 nt
Filed under: Bacteroidota bacterium
Lineage: Bacteria; Pseudomonadati; Bacteroidota
Description: Bacteroidetes bacterium partial 16S ribosomal RNA
Rfam family: Bacterial small subunit ribosomal RNA
Source: RNAcentral